UACGUAGGGUGCGAGCGUUAAUCGGAAUUACUGGGCGUAAAGCGUGCGCAGGCGGUUUGUUAAGACAGAUGUGAAAUCCCCGGGCUUAACCUGGGAACUGCAUUUGUGACUGGCAAGCUAGAGUAUGGCAGAGGGGGGGUAGAAUUCCACGUGUAGCAGUGAAAUGCGUAGAGAUGUGGAGGAAUACCGAUGGCGAAGGCAGCCCCCUGGGCCAACACUGACGCUGAGGCACGAAAGCGUGGGGAGCAAACAGG
Molecule: ribosomal RNA, 254 nt
Filed under: uncultured bacterium
Lineage: Bacteria
Description: partial 16S ribosomal RNA
Rfam family: Bacterial small subunit ribosomal RNA
Source: RNAcentral